AUGAAUCCUACAUCCAGUCUCCACCACAAACCAUGGUGGAAUUUUCACUAUAAUUCUCAGGUUACAUACACCAAUACUAUUGAAUUACUCCCUAAUUCAACUAGUAUCUACCCCUAAGCUUUCUUCACCAAAGCUUAGCAACCCCAAAGUGCUAUCCCAACUUGGAAGGGGAAUCUACACAGAUUCAAUUCUCACCAAGUGCUAACCCAACUUGGAAAGGGGAACUAAUCCUAGUUCAUAAACCCAGAUUACAUCAAAAAAUAAACAGUGGCUAUUUCUGCAUCACUCUUGCCUUUUCUCUCUUGGCUUUUGAUCCUCACAUGAUUGCCUUUUUCAAAACAAAGAAUAACGCAAGACAGCCAUAACAAUAAAUCAGAAUUAAGCUUGAGUAGAAGAAAGAGAUUUCAGCUCUAUAUUAGAGAAGGUGCUCUGAAUUGGUGUGUGCUCUCUUUCUUAACUUGAAAUGAUGGAAUGAGUCUUCUUAUAUAU
This 489-nucleotide long non-coding RNA is filed under the name Arachis ipaensis. Its description in RNAcentral is "long non-coding RNA (AIPA_LNC001054)". Lineage: Eukaryota; Viridiplantae; Streptophyta; Magnoliopsida; Fabales; Fabaceae. The record is from RNAcentral.